CACGUAGGGGCGAGCGUUGUCCGGAAUUACUGGGCGUAAAGGGCGCGCAGGCUGUUUAUGCGAGUCUGCUGUGAAAUGUACCGGGCUCAACCGGUGCCUUGCGGCGGAUACUGCAUAGCUGGAGUACUGGAGAGGGAAGUGGAAUUACCAGUGUAGCGGUGGAAUGCGUAGAUACUGGUAGGAACACCCAUUGCGAAGGCAGCUCGCUGGACAACACGUGACGCUGAGGCGCGAAAGUGUGGGGAGCAAAACCCGGAUUA
Molecule: ribosomal RNA, 260 nt
Filed under: uncultured prokaryote
Description: partial 16S ribosomal RNA
Rfam family: Bacterial small subunit ribosomal RNA
Source: RNAcentral